UAAGACGAAGGUGGCAAGCGUUGUUCGGUGUUACUGGGCUUAAAGCGUGUGUAGGUGGCUGAGUAAGUCAAAGAUGAAAUCCCAAGGCUCAACCUUGGAAUUGUUUUUGAAACUGUUCAGCUUGAGGAUAGUUGAGGAGGAUGGAAUUCCCGGUGGAGCGGUGAAAUGCGUAGAUAUCGGGAGGAACACCAGAGGCGAAGGCGAUUCUCUAAGCUAUUCCUGACACUGAGACACGAAAGCUAGGGGAGCAAACGGGAUUAGAUACCCCGGUAGUCCUAGCCGUAAACGAUGGGCACUAGAUGUUUCCGCUUUUAGCGGGGGUGUCGAAGCUAACGCAUUAAGUGCCCCGCCUGGGGAGUACGGUCGCAGGGCUG
RNAcentral lists this ribosomal RNA (374 nucleotides) under uncultured Nitrospirota bacterium. RNAcentral describes it as "bacterial SSU rRNA". It matches the Rfam family "Bacterial small subunit ribosomal RNA", at positions 521 to 896 of the family's 1533-position model. Lineage: Bacteria; Pseudomonadati; Nitrospirota. The record is from RNAcentral.